UAGGCCUGUCUUUCCUCCUUUCCCUGUGUGCUUGGUUUUGGAAUAUCUUCGGCCUAUCCGUUAUUUCCAGUGUCUUUGGCCUUCUAAUGCCAAUUUACGGUCAUUGUCAUUUAGAGACAAUACAUUUCAGGAGCAUGGCUAACAUCUUUCAGAGACUGGCUGAACAUCUAUGGAUGUCUGGCAAGUUCCUUGACAUCCAUUCAAGGUGCGAGACAGAAUCACGUUUCUUUUUUUUCCCCGUCCCGGUAAUCUCUGCUGUGUACGCAAAGAUUAAACUUUUGAGAUGAAAUUUUGUCACCUCUCCUAACCAUGCAGCCACUCUGUCGAGGGACCUGUGAAAAUGACGUCCACUAAACCAUCAAACCUCGUACUAGUGAAUUUUCUAAGCAUUUGGUGGGAAGCAACGAUCUAAAAGAACCACCCCAGAUUUGCUAA
Neltuma alba is the source of this 435-nucleotide long non-coding RNA. RefSeq lists it as uncharacterized. The record is from RefSeq and is a predicted model, not a curated record. The transcript has 2 exons. Lineage: Eukaryota; Viridiplantae; Streptophyta; Magnoliopsida; Fabales; Fabaceae.